This 441-nucleotide ribosomal RNA is filed under the name Sulfitobacter litoralis. Its description in RNAcentral is "bacterial SSU rRNA". It matches the Rfam family "Bacterial small subunit ribosomal RNA", at positions 111 to 587 of the family's 1533-position model. The record is from RNAcentral. Lineage: Bacteria; Pseudomonadati; Pseudomonadota; Alphaproteobacteria; Rhodobacterales; Roseobacteraceae.
UAACGCGUGGGAACAUACCCUUUUCUACGGAAUAGCCUCGGGAAACUGAGAGUAAUACCGUAUAAGCCCUUCGGGGGAAAGAUUUAUCGGGAAAGGAUUGGCCCGCGUUAGAUUAGAUAGUUGGUGGGGUAAUGGCCUACCAAGUCUACGAUCUAUAGCUGGUUUUAGAGGAUGAUCAGCAACACUGGGACUGAGACACGGCCCAGACUCCUACGGGAGGCAGCAGUGGGGAAUCUUAGACAAUGGGCGCAAGCCUGAUCUAGCCAUGCCGCGUGUGUGAUGAAGGUCUUAGGAUCGUAAAGCACUUUCGCCAGGGAUGAUAAUGACAGUACCUGGUAAAGAAACCCCGGCUAACUCCGUGCCAGCAGCCGCGGUAAUACGGAGGGGGUUAGCGUUGUUCGGAAUUACUGGGCGUAAAGCGUACGUAGGCGGAUUGGAAAG